UUUUGCAUAACAUAGAGCCGCCCUCCCCAACAGAACGCGCCGCUGUAAAGCAGCCAUUAACGGCGAACAGAGGUUUUGUCCCCGGUGAACCAAUGAAGGCUUCAAGCUCCGACACGAACCAACCAGCGAGCUCGAAGCUCGCGCAACCGAUAACAACCAAAUUUCACCAGUGAACCAGCGACACCAACUCCGGCAAAACAGUUUUCAGCUGAAAAAAGUGAGCUUGACAAUGGAAGAAGAUAAGGGGUUGAAGAAAGAGAAGAAAAACAUCCCUGUACUGCCAUGGAUGAGAAACCCAGUUGAUAUUACUACCUUUGAUCAAUGCUCUGUAGAUCUUUUGCCUUUUAUUGAUCCCAGGUUAGUGGCGGCUUUGAAGAAUAUGAGCAUCACUUCACUCUUUCCCAUGCAACUUGCUGUCUGGCAAGAGACGAUUGGACCUGGCUCUUUUGAACGAGACCUUUGUAUAAAUUCACCUACAGGGAGCGGGAAAACUAUUGCUUAUGCCUUACCAAUUGUUCAGAUGCUGUCUACACGUGCUGUUAAAUGUCUUCGUGCAUUAGUGGUCUUGCCUACUAGAGACCUUGCAUUGCAGGUCAAAGAGGUCUUCUCUGCUCUUGCACCUGCAGUAGGUCUGUCUGUCGGCUUGGCAGUAGGUCAGUCAUCAAUUUCAGAUGAAAUCUCUGAGCUCAUCAAGAAACCCAAUGUUGAGUAUGGCAUAUGUUAUGAUCCUGAAGAAUUCUCAUACGAGUUACAAAGUGCAGUAGACAUAUUAGUGGCAACUCCUGGAAGACUGAUGGACCACAUCAAUAACACUGAUGGUUUUACGCUUGAGCAUCUAUCAUAUCUUGUUGUUGAUGAAACAGAUAGGUUAUUAAGGGAAGCUUAUCAGUCCUGGCUUCCUACCGUCAUUCAGUUGACCAGCUCUUCUGUUGAUGGGAACUUCCCUUCUGCUGCUGAUCUUCUUCCUUGCACUUAUGGUUCAUUGAAGACAAUCAGAAGAAUGGGCACUGAAAGAGGGUUCAAGGGAAAAGCCUAUCCAAGGCUGGCAAAGAUGGUUUUAUCAGCCACACUAACACAAGACCCAAGUAAACUUGCUCAGCUUGAUUUGCAUCAUCCUCUUCUUUUGACGACUGGAGAAAGACGUUACAAGCUUCCUGAAGAACUCAAAUCAUUUAAAGUGCUAUGUCAAUCGAAGCUUAAGCCACUCUAUCUAGUUUCCCUUCUUCAAAGCCUGCAAGGGGAGAAAUCAAUUAUUUUCACGUCAUCCGUGGAGUCCACUCAUAGAUUAUGCACCUUGCUCAAGUUUUUCGACAAUUUGCAAAUUGAGUUCAAGGAGUAUUCUCGUCUUCAACGGCAAUCUGUAAGAAGCAAGACGUUGAGGGCUUUCCGGUCAGGGCAAGUGCAAGUGCUUAUUUCCUCUGAUGCUAUGACUCGUGGAAUGGAUGUUGAAGGAGUGAGAAAUGUCAUAAACUAUGAUAUGCCUGCAUAUAUAAAAACAUUUAUUCAUCGGGCAGGCAGAACUGCAAGAGCGGGCCUAAGUGGAUGUUGCUUUAUGUUAAUGCAUAAAGAUGAGAUCAAGCGCUUCAAGAAGAUGCUACAAAAAGCUGACUGUAACUCUUGCCCUACCUAUUCUGCUUCUUCUGAAGUGAUAGAGUCACUUCGCUCUGUGUACACCUCAGCUUUGGAGAAACUUAGAGAGAAUGUUGAAUCAGAAAAGUUUAAGAAAAGCAAGAUUAGGUUGAAAUCUUCAAAUGUGAGAAAGGAGAAGUGAAAAGCUGUCCAUGGUGAUAACUUCCAUUUUCCUAGGCAGUGUAGUCCUCUGUUGCAACCAGUUUAUGAUAUCAUGAUCUAGAUGAAUCGUGCAGUCGGUGGAGGGUCAAAAAGACUAAUCCUGUUCGCGGGAUUGUGAAAGCUGAACUUUCCAUGAAGGUUCAUAGCCAAAAUUUGAGUCUCUUGCGCUACAAUGUGAGAAAAAUUCAAGUAUAUAAGCACCCAGGGGACGUCGAUGGAGACGCGUUUUAUUUGGUUGGUAUGAAAAUAUUGAAUGGCUGGGAUUCUUCAUUGCUGGUGAAAAUUGAAAAAACUGGAGAUUCUCAUCUUGAACUAUGAUUAUAAUGGCAAUCGUUAACUUUAAAAAUGACAUACACCAGUUUUUGUUAUUUGCUGGAGAUCUUUCAUACUUCAAUUUUAUUUAUUUAUGUUGUAUGUUGUA
This is an RNA transcript of Solanum stenotomum, 2212 nucleotides long. It is a transcript of the gene named DEAD-box ATP-dependent RNA helicase 1-like, with no coding region annotated. The record is from RefSeq and is a predicted model, not a curated record. Lineage: Eukaryota; Viridiplantae; Streptophyta; Magnoliopsida; Solanales; Solanaceae. The transcript has 11 exons.